This 37-nucleotide ribosomal RNA is filed under the name Tylodelphys cerebralis. RNAcentral describes it as "partial 28S ribosomal RNA". Lineage: Eukaryota; Metazoa; Platyhelminthes; Trematoda; Diplostomida; Diplostomidae. The record is from RNAcentral.
AUCAGACGCGAAUACCCGCUGAACUUAAGCAUAUCAC